UUCUGUGACAUUAGGAACCAUCGACCACUUGAUACAGCGAAACAGUCAGGUGGUGGAGGGUUCUGAUUGACACACAA
This 77-nucleotide microRNA precursor is filed under the name Petromyzon marinus (sea lamprey). RNAcentral describes it as "microRNA pma-mir-4583 precursor". Lineage: Eukaryota; Metazoa; Chordata; Hyperoartia; Petromyzontiformes; Petromyzontidae. The record is from miRBase by way of RNAcentral.